This 362-nucleotide ribosomal RNA is filed under the name uncultured bacterium. RNAcentral describes it as "bacterial SSU rRNA". It matches the Rfam family "Bacterial small subunit ribosomal RNA", at positions 338 to 719 of the family's 1533-position model. The record is from RNAcentral.
CCUACGGGAGGCAGCAGUGGGGAAUCUUGGACAAUGGGCGCAAGCCUGAUCCAGCCAUGCCGCGUGAGUGAAGAAGGCCUUCGGGUUGUAAAGCUCUUUUACCAGGGACGAUAAUGACGGUACCUGGAGAAUAAGCCCCGGCAAACUUCGUGCCAGCAGCCGCGGUAAUACGAAGGGGGCUAGCGUUGUUCGGAAUUACUGGGCGUAAAGCGCACGUAGGCGGAUUGUUAAGUCAGAGGUGAAAUCCCGGAGCUCAACUUCGGAACUGCCUUUGNUACUGGCAAUCUCGAGUCCGGAAGAGGUUAGUGGAAUUCCCAGUGUAGAGGUGAAAUUCGUAGAUAUUGGAAGACACCAGUGGNGAG